CCGUACCAUGCUGAAUAUACCGGUUCUCGUUAGAUCACCGAAGUCAAGCAUCAUUGGGCGCGGUUAGUACUUGGGUGGGUGACCACCUGGGAACACUGCGUGCCGUU
Molecule: ribosomal RNA, 107 nt
Filed under: Caerostris darwini
Lineage: Eukaryota; Metazoa; Arthropoda; Arachnida; Araneae; Araneidae
Source: RNAcentral